GAUGAACGCUGGCGGCGUGCCUAAUACAUGCAAGUCGAGCGAACGGACGAGAAGCUUGCUUCUCUGAUGUUAGCGGCGGACGGGUGAGUAACACGUGGAUAACCUACCUAUAAGACUGGGAUAACUUCGGGAAACCGGAGCUAAUACCGGAUAAUAUUUUGAACCGCAUGGUUCAAAAGUGAAAGACGGUCUUGCUGUCACUUAUAGAUGGAUCCGCGCUGCAUUAGCUAGUUGGUAAGGUAACGGCUUACCAAGGCAACGAUGCAUAGCCGACCUGAGAGGGUGAUCGGCCACACUGGAACUGAGACACGGUCCAGACUCCUACGGGAGGCAGCAGUAGGGAAUCUUCCGCAAUGGGCGAAAGCCUGACGGAGCAACGCCGCGUGAGUGAUGAAGGUCUUCGGAUCGUAAAACUCUGUUAUUAGGGAAGAACAUAUGUGUAAGUAACUGUGCACAUCUUGACGGUACCUAAUCAGAAAGCCACGGCUAACUACGUGCCAGCAGCCGCGGUAAUACGUAGGUGGCAAGCGUUAUCCGGAAUUAUUGGGCGUAAAGCGCGCGUAGGCGGUUUUUUAAGUCUGAUGUGAAAGCCCACGGCUCAACCGUGGAGGGUCAUUGGAAACUGGAAAACUUGAGUGCAGAAGAGGAAAGUGGAAUUCCAUGUGUAGCGGUGAAAUGCACAGAGAUAUGGAGGAACACCAGUGGCGAAGGCGACUUUCUGGUCUGUAACUGACGCUGAUGUGCGAAAGCGUGGGGAUCAAACAGGAUUAGAUACCCUGGUAGUCCACGCCGUAAACGAUGAGUGCUAAGUGUUAGGGGGUUUCCGCCCCCUAGUGCUGCAGCUAACGCAUUAAGCACUCCGCCUGGGGAGUACGACCGCAAGGUUGAAACUCAAAGGAAUUGACGGGGACCCGCACAAGCGGUGGAGCAUGUGGUUUAAUUCGAAGCAACGCGAAGAACCUUACCAAAUCUUGACAUCCUUUGACAACUCUAGAGAUAGAGCCUUCCCCUUCGGGGGACAAAGUGACAGGUGGUGCAUGGUUGUCGUCAGCUCGUGUCGUGAGAUGUUGGGUUAAGUCCCGCAACGAGCGCAGCCCUUAAGCUUAGUUGCCAUCAUUAAGUUGGGCACUCUAAGUUGACUGCCGGUGACAAACCGGAGGAAGGUGGGGAUGACGUCAAAUCAUCAUGCCCCUUAUGAUUUGGGCUACACACGUGCUACAAUGGACAAUACAAAGGGCAGCGAAACCGCGAGGUCAAGCAAAUCCCAUAAAGUUGUUCUCAGUUCGGAUUGUAGUCUGCAACUCGACUACAUGAAGCUGGAAUCGCUAGUAAUCGUAGAUCAGCAUGCUACGGUGAAUACGUUCCCGGGUCU
RNAcentral lists this ribosomal RNA (1372 nucleotides) under uncultured bacterium. RNAcentral's name for it is "bacterial SSU rRNA". It matches the Rfam family "Bacterial small subunit ribosomal RNA", at positions 28 to 1381 of the family's 1533-position model. The record is from RNAcentral.